UACGGAGGGUGCAAGCGUUAUUCGGAAUCAUUGGGUUUAAAGGGUGUGUAGGUGGUUAUAUAAGUUAACGGUGAAAGUUUAGUGCUUAACAUUAAAAUUGCCGUUAAAACUGUAGAACUAGAAUAAUGGAGGAGUAAUUAGAAUUUAUAGUGUAGUAGUGAAAUGCGUAGAUAUUAUAAAGAAUACCAACAGCGAAGGCAGGUUACUAUUCAUUUAUUGACACUGAGACACGAAGGCGUGGGGAGCAAAU
Molecule: ribosomal RNA, 250 nt
Filed under: uncultured prokaryote
Description: partial 16S ribosomal RNA
Rfam family: Bacterial small subunit ribosomal RNA
Source: RNAcentral